GGAUCGGUACCACGACCUGGACUUGGAGUGUGAUGGAGGAGGCGUUGCACAAAAAGCAGCGUUAUUCGGUGGGAUGUUCAAGAGAUCCUCCAAGUCUGCAGAACCAUUUGCUCAAGCACAGGACAAUUUAUCGGCCAAUGGUGAACUUUCAAAGAGCAACG
Seriola dumerili (greater amberjack) is the source of this 161-nucleotide long non-coding RNA. RefSeq lists it as uncharacterized. Lineage: Eukaryota; Metazoa; Chordata; Actinopteri; Carangiformes; Carangidae. The transcript has 3 exons. The record is from RefSeq and is a predicted model, not a curated record.